UUAACUCCGAUUUGUAUGCAGUUGGAACAGCGCCCCUAGCGGCAAACGUAGGCAAACAUUCCAACUCCAUACAAAUUUUAGUUA
Molecule: microRNA precursor, 84 nt
Filed under: Bombyx mori (domestic silkworm)
Lineage: Eukaryota; Metazoa; Arthropoda; Insecta; Lepidoptera; Bombycidae
Description: mir-2807 microRNA precursor family
Rfam family: mir-2807 microRNA precursor family
Source: Rfam by way of RNAcentral